RNAcentral lists this transfer RNA (67 nucleotides) under Terebellides stroemii. RNAcentral describes it as "tRNA-Asn". The record is from RNAcentral. Lineage: Eukaryota; Metazoa; Annelida; Polychaeta; Terebellida; Trichobranchidae.
UGACUAGAAGCAAUUUGCAUUUAACUGUUAAUUAAAAGACAGCCGUUCAUUGUACCGGCCUAGUCAG